Molecule: ribosomal RNA, 279 nt
Filed under: uncultured bacterium
Lineage: Bacteria
Description: partial 16S ribosomal RNA
Rfam family: Bacterial small subunit ribosomal RNA
Source: RNAcentral
UGCCAGCAGCCGCGGUAAUCCUAAUGUUGCUAUCGUUGUUCGGAAUUACUGGGCGUAAAGAGCAUGUAGGCGGAUGAAUUAGUCAGAGGUGAAAGCCCCGAGCUCAACUUGGGAACUGCCUUUGAUACUGUUUAUCUAGAGUCCGAGAGAGGUUAGUGGAAUUCCCAGUGUAGAGGUGAAAUUCGUAGAUAUUGGGAAGAACACCAGUGGCGAAGGCGGCUCACUGGCUCGAUACUGACGCUGAGGUGCGAAAGCGUGGGGAGCAAACAGGAUUAGAUA